GAUGAAGAACGUAGCGAAAUGCGAUAAGUAGUGUGAAUUGCAGAAUUCAGUGAAUCAUCGAAUCUUUGAACGCACAUUGCGCCCCAUGGUAUUCCGUGGGGCAUGCCUGUUCGAGCGUCAUUUACCCCCUCAAGCUCCGCUUGGUGUUGGGCGUCUGUCCCGCUUCGCGCGCGGACUCGCCCCAAAGGUAUUGGCAGCGGUCGUGCCAGCUUCUCGCGCAGCACAUUGCGCUUCUCGAGGCACCGGUGGGCCCGCGUCCAUCAAGCUCACACCCCAGUUUGACCUCGGAUCAGGUAGGGAUACCCGCUGAACUUAAGCAUAUCAAUAAGCGGAGGA
This 336-nucleotide unclassified non-coding RNA is filed under the name soil metagenome. Its description in RNAcentral is "partial contains 5.8S ribosomal RNA, internal transcribed spacer 2, and large subunit ribosomal RNA". The stretch from base 1 to 120 matches the Rfam family "5.8S ribosomal RNA", at positions 35 to 154 of the family's 154-position model. The record is from RNAcentral.